AAAUUGAAGAGUUUGAUCAUGGCUCAGAUUGAACGCUGGCGGCAGGCCUAACACAUGCAAGUCGAACGGUAACAGAAAGCAGCUUGCUGCUUUGCUGACGAGUGGCGGACGGGUGAGUAAUGUCUGGGAAACUGCCUGAUGGAGGGGGAUAACUACUGGAAACGGUAGCUAAUACCGCAUAACGUCGCAAGACCAAAGAGGGGGACCUUCGGGCCUCUUGCCAUCGGAUGUGCCCAGAUGGGAUUAGCUAGUAGGUGGGGUAACGGCUCACCUAGGCGACGAUCCCUAGCUG
Molecule: ribosomal RNA, 292 nt
Filed under: Escherichia coli
Lineage: Bacteria; Pseudomonadati; Pseudomonadota; Gammaproteobacteria; Enterobacterales; Enterobacteriaceae
Description: partial 16S ribosomal RNA
Rfam family: Bacterial small subunit ribosomal RNA
Source: RNAcentral